UACGGGGGGGGCAAGCGUUGUUCGGAAUUACUGGGCGUAAAGGGCUCGUAGGUGGCCAACUAAGUCGGACGUGAAAUCCCUCGGCUUAACCGGGGAACUGCGUCUGAUACUGGAUGGCUUGAGUUUGGGAGAGGGAUGCGGAAUUCCAGGUGUAGCGGUGAAAUGCGUAGAUAUCUGGAGGAACACCGGUGGCGAAGGCGGCAUCCUGGACCAACACUGACACUGAGGAGCGAAAGCGUGGGGAGCAAACAGG
Molecule: ribosomal RNA, 253 nt
Filed under: uncultured bacterium
Lineage: Bacteria
Description: partial 16S ribosomal RNA
Rfam family: Bacterial small subunit ribosomal RNA
Source: RNAcentral